UACGGGGGGAGCAAGCGUUGUUCGGAUUUACUGGGCGUAAAGGGCGCGUAGGCGGCUUGACAAGUCACUUGUGAAAUCUCUGGGCUUAACCCAGAACGGCCAAGUGAAACUGUCGAGCUAGAGUGUAGAAGGGGCAAUCGGAAUUCUUGGUGUAGCGGUGAAAUGCGUAGAUAUCAAGAGGAACACCUGAGGUGAAGACGGGUUGCUGGUCUAACACUGACGCUGAGGCGCGAAAGCCAGGGGAGCAAACGGG
RNAcentral lists this ribosomal RNA (253 nucleotides) under uncultured bacterium. Its description in RNAcentral is "partial 16S ribosomal RNA". It matches the Rfam family "Bacterial small subunit ribosomal RNA", at positions 524 to 776 of the family's 1533-position model. The record is from RNAcentral.